RNAcentral lists this ribosomal RNA (513 nucleotides) under uncultured Glomus. RNAcentral describes it as "SSU rRNA". It matches the Rfam family "Eukaryotic small subunit ribosomal RNA", at positions 548 to 1066 of the family's 1831-position model. The record is from RNAcentral. Lineage: Eukaryota; Fungi; Glomeromycota; Glomeromycetes; Glomerales; Glomeraceae.
UUGGAGGGCAAGUCUGGUGCCAGCAGCCGCGGUAAUUCCAGCUCCAAUAGCGUAUAUUAAAGUUGUUGCAGUUAAAAAGCUCGUAGUUGAAUUCCGGGAUCAGUACGCCGGUCGUGCCUCCGGUAUGUACUGGUGUCACUGAUUCCUCCCUUCUGAAGAACCAUCAUGCCAUUCACUUGGUGUGGUGGGGAAUCAGGACUGUUACUUUGAAAAAAUUAGAGUGUUUAAAGCAGGCUCACGCUUGAAUACAUUAGCAUGGAAUAAUGAAAUAGGACGUUGAUCCUAUUUUGUUGGUUUCUAGGAUUGACGUAAUGAUUAAUAGGGAUAGUUGGGGGCAUUAGUAUUCAAUUGUCAGAGGUGAAAUUCUUGGAUUUAUUGAAGACUAACUACUGCGAAAGCAUUUGCCAAGGAUGUUUUCAUUAAUCAAGAACGAAAGUUAGGGGAUCGAAGACGAUCAGAUACUGUCGUAGUCUUAACCAUAAACUAUGCCGACUAGGGAUCGAUGAUGUAUAA